This 253-nucleotide ribosomal RNA is filed under the name uncultured bacterium. RNAcentral describes it as "partial 16S ribosomal RNA". It matches the Rfam family "Bacterial small subunit ribosomal RNA", at positions 524 to 776 of the family's 1533-position model. The record is from RNAcentral.
UACGUAGGGGGCAAGCGUUGUCCGGAUUUAUUGGGCGUAAAGAGCGUGUAGGCGGCCAUGCAGGUCCGCUGUGAAAACUCGAGGCUCAACCUCGAGACGUCGGUGGAAACCGCAUGGCUAGAGUCCGGAAGAGGCGAGUGGAACUCCUGGUGUAGCGGUGGAAUGCGCAGAUAUCAGGAAGAACACCGACGGCGAAGGCAGCUCGCUGGGACGGUACUGACGCUGAGGCGCGAAAGCGUGGGGAGCGAACAGG